RNAcentral lists this ribosomal RNA (583 nucleotides) under uncultured bacterium ECS39. RNAcentral describes it as "bacterial SSU rRNA". It matches the Rfam family "Bacterial small subunit ribosomal RNA", at positions 900 to 1482 of the family's 1533-position model. The record is from RNAcentral.
UCAAAAGGAAUUGACGGGGGCCCGCACAAGCGGUGGAUUAUGUGGAUUAAUUCGAUGCAACGCGAAAAACCUUACCUGGCCUUGACAUGUACCGAAUUUAGCAGAGAUGCUUUAGUGCUCGUAAGAGAACGGUAACACAGGUGCUGCAUGGCUGUCGUCAGCUCGUGUCGUGAGAUGUUGGGUUAAGUCCCGCAACGAGCGCAACCCUUGCCAUUAAUUGCCAUCAUUUAGUUGGGCACUUUAAUGGGACUGCCGGUGACAAACCGGAGGAAGGUGGGGAUGACGUCAAGUCCUCAUGGCCCUUAUGGCCAGGGCUUCACACGUAAUACAAUGGACGGUACAGAGGGACGCCAACCCGCGAGGGGGAGCCAAUCCCAGAAAGCCGUUCGUAGUCCGGAUUGUUGUCUGCAACUCGACAACAUGAAGUCGGAAUCGCUAGUAAUCGCGGAUCAGAAUGUCGCGGUGAAUACGUUCCCGGGCCUUGUACACACCGCCCGUCACACCAUGGGAGUGGGUUUUACCAGAAGUAGUUAGUCUGACCGCAAGGGGGACGAUUACCACGGUAGGAUUCAUGACUGGGGUG